RNAcentral lists this long non-coding RNA (1926 nucleotides) under Solanum tuberosum (potato). RNAcentral describes it as "long non-coding RNA (STUB_LNC008491)". The record is from RNAcentral. Lineage: Eukaryota; Viridiplantae; Streptophyta; Magnoliopsida; Solanales; Solanaceae.
AGCACUUCGCUUCAAGUGUAGUUCCUAAAGGUAUUUACUAUCUUUUGCUAUGGUUUAUCGAUGAUUAUUCCUCUGAUGCUCAUACACGCAGCCAGUUGUCGCCGCCAGAACUACGUCCUCUGCUUUCUGAGAACUUGUUGCACCAUAUCUGAUUGUCAACUGAAAACAUCCUAGCUACUUUAUAGUGGUAAAUUCUGUCGUGCAAUCAUUUCUAAAUCUUGAAAAAAAUUGUUUUCCACGACUUGAAUGACUACAAAAAAUUGUUUUCCAUGUCUUUGAUCGUUAUUCUAGUAUUCUUCCUGUUGGUUGUAUUUCAAUGUCUCAAUCAUUUAAUUCACAUGAUGACAGUUCCAUGAGAUCUUUAAAUCGUAACUACUCUUUAUCCUCUCUUUAAAGUUCAUAAAAGUUUUUGUUGCGUACACAGAUGAAAGUAUCAACUAUUCAUUAUGGUGUAAUUGACUUUGUUGUAGUAGAGAAGCUUGGCCUAGAAAAUACAAGUUCUCGCUCGGCUAUGUGGUUUUCUUCAGGUAACUCUUGACAAGCUUCCCUUAAUUUCUUUUUAUUUUGUUGGCUCAUGUAACCAGACUACAUCUUAUUUAUUGAUUUUUUUGGUUCACUAACCUGAUGAGAGUCUUUCUGGCUUAAGUUGCUUGUCUGAAUGUUAUCAUAGUGGCUUGCUUAAGUUUUGAUUGUUAGACCUUUGAACCUUACAAAUACGUUUGCAUUGUUUGCCAUUAAUAUAUGUAUGAUCUUCCACUAGUGAGAAUUUGUUGUACUCACAAAAUCUUAGAUUGAGAAGAUACAAAAUGAUGGAAAUUGCUGGUGCAUAAGGGCAGCAGGUUCUUUAGAAGCCUAGCAAGCCAAUCUCUCAUGCUUUUCUCAAGGUUAAAUUCUUAAGUCAAACCUAGAAGCUAUCAUUCAAAUGCAAAGCCAAGUGGAAGUCGCAGAAGAUAUAUAGUGUGAUCCUUAGGAAAAACACAUAUUUUCUCUAGUGAUAUAAUAGACUUUUGCGCCUAGAAGACUUACUGAGGCAAGGAUUGAUGACACAAAUGAUUGAUCUACUAACAACCCACUCAUGUCUGUCUAAUUUUACUGAUCAUUUGUACCAUCUUGCACACAAUUGAACAGUCUAAUACAAACCCCUUUUGGCAUUUAAAGAACCAUUUGAGGAUGAAAAAAGACAAAUAAAAGCAUGAUGAAUAGCCAUUUCUUUAGAAAAUGAACAUUAACCAAAGCUUGCUAGCUUAUUUCCAUAUUUCUUUUUUCAUAAAACAACUACCGCAAACAUAUUGAGAAGUUUGCAGUUAAUUUUAAUGCAAAAAGUCUGCUAGCUUAUUUACUACUUACUAGCUAAUAUUAACAUUAUGUCUAGUCCAUGGUUUCCAAAUAAUAGAGUAUUUAUUUGGUACACACAUUGCUUAAGAACUAAAAUCAAAGUUUUUGUAUAGAUCUUGUGUUCAGGAUAAACUCGAAGAUUAGUCACUGUGGUUGUACCAUUAUAAAAUCUAUUUCAGUUUGGAAUUAGUCAAUAUGCUAGUAUCUUAGGUGUUUGUUGGUGGUUAUCAUGAUUCCCUUUGAAAGCUGUUAUUUUUUUCGAGAUAGAAGCACACUCUUACCACAAUAUUACGAGUGAUCAUAGUUUGAUUUCUAUCUGAUUAUUAAAUUAAUGUCUUUUUAUCUGUAGGAGAAUGGUGAUGCAAUUGACGAUGGUGGCAGAAAGUUAAUUUGAUCUAUUAAUGCGCAUGAUGAAGACUUUUGAAUAAUUAGGAUGUCUAUUAAUUUUAAAGUUCAUUGUUAGUGGGAAUUUUGAUACAUAUAUUUUAUUAGUAUGUUUAGUACAGGACCAAGUGAAGUCAAAUUGCAAGUAUAUAUAAAUUUGAUUUAUUUUUUUGAUAUUUAUUACUUUAGUUUUUGAUAUCAUCAAAA